CUUGAACUUUAUAAGAGGUCCAGCCUGCCCAGUGACUCUGUUCAACGGCCGCGGUAUCCUAACCGUGCGAAGGUAGCGUAAUCACUUGUUCUCUAAAUGUGGACUAGUAUGAAUGGCACUACGAGGGUUAUACUGUCUCCUUUUUCUAAUCAGUGAAACUAAUUUUCCCGUGAAGAAGCGGGAAUACAACUAUAAGACGAGAAGACCCUAUGGAGCUUUAAACGACCUAGCAAUUACUUCUAAAAUUAUAAAUUUCAGAAUACUCAUUCUUUAAGCAAUAUGUCUGCAAGUUUUUGGUUGGGGUGACCAUGGAGAAUAACACAACCUCCAUAUUGAAUGAAUUUUUAUUCUAAGCUAAGAAUUACUAAUUAAAGCAUCAACACACUGACAUUUAUUGACCCA
Molecule: ribosomal RNA, 402 nt
Filed under: Rhinella castaneotica (Para toad)
Lineage: Eukaryota; Metazoa; Chordata; Amphibia; Anura; Bufonidae
Description: partial 16S ribosomal RNA
Rfam family: Bacterial large subunit ribosomal RNA
Source: RNAcentral